ACAUAUAUGUAUAUAUUCCAGCCUCCUCGCCCUCUUCUUUCUUUUCUCAAACUGGGAGGGCAGCCGGGGAGUCUAGUGUGGGAGAAAGCUCGGAAGGCAGCCCAGUACCGUGGAACGCCGCCCUCUUUCUCGCUGCUACCAAUCCGGGGACUGGUGGAGGGCGCUGCUACAUUGUAUCUAUUCAAAGGGAGUCGGACCGAGAGCAGCUAGGCGCUGACGCACGGGAGGCGCGUGAUUGACGCAGGCGAGGUUUCUAAAUUUAGCAGUUGGCCCGGGCCCUGCCGCCGCCGCGCGCCGGAGAUAGCGGAUGGUCUGGAAUGGAACCUCUAAUAUCUCUGAGAUAUACUAUAUGGCAUAAAGUGAAGAAGAAUUACAAAACCUCUUGAUGAGGAUGAAAGAGAAGAGCAUAAAAGCUAGCUUGAAACUUAACAUUAAAAAAAACCCAAAACUAAGAUCUUGGCAACUGAUUCCAUCACUUCCUGGCAAAUAAAAGGAGAAAAAAAUGGAAGCAGCAUCAGAUUUUAAAUUCUUGGGCUCAAAGAUCACUGCAGAUGGCAACUGCAGCCAUGAAAGUAAAAGAUGCUUACUCCUUGGAAAGAAAGCUGUGGAAAAUCUGGACAGCAUACUAAAAAGUGGAGACAUCAUCUUUCUGACAAAGGUGUCCUUUCAUGUCUAGGAAUGCCAUUGGAGGAGAAAAACAAACAGAAAGAAAAGUCUGGAAGCAACAGAGUCUUUUGCUUGCCUUGUUUAUAAUAUUAUUUGAGAUGUUGCACUACAGCUCCAGAUCUCAUUCGAUGCAAAAUGAGACUUGUCAUGAAGAAAUAUACAAAAUGGUAAAAUGAAGGUGGGAAUCAUGUGAAGGUAAUUAAGUAAAAAUGAACAGAAUGGUACAGCUUAAAAGAUUUGUUUAUCACAAAGAAGGGUCUUCAUGGUAAGAUUAAAAAAUUGUAAAAGAGAUAAGCAGACCAACAGAAGCAUAACGAACAAACUUGUAGAAAGUGAAACAAGACUUUUAUUGAAAUCAACCAGUGAUUAGGAACUAUGCUUCAUUUGAUGUGUAAGCAAUAAACAGCAAAUUUAUUAUUCUCUGUCUACUUAAACUUUCCCCCCAGAUAAUAAUAUUGGUUUAUAAUUCUCAAAUAAUUACCACACUUCCAAUUUCCCCUCUUCAUAAGCAUAUUAAAUAUUCUUAACAUGCUGACUUUAAAUGAACUCUUUCUCCUUAAAUUAAUUUAUCAGUAUACUCAGGUCAUCACUACAUUUGUCUGGGAAAGCGGCAGAAUCCAGUUUUAAUUUUUUUCAUGUUAUCCAGGCUCCUUUUUCCUUUGGUAAAAUCCUUAUCUUUUUCUCAUGAGGACCAAUUUCUUUUCUCUAUAAUAUUUAGAUAAUUGCCCAUUGCCAUUUUUCCUGACACUGGUUUUUUAUAUUAUACUUUUUUUUUUCUUUCCCCUUUCACUGCUUGCAUGAGCAAAUGCAUGUGAGCAUGCAUGAAUGUGCGCAUACACACACACCUUAUACAAAUUUUAUCUUGUCUUUUGCCUACAUAUUAAACUAUAUUUUUACUAAAAUUAUUAAAAGGCAGCUGAGAUAGCAUAGUAAAUAGAAUGCUGGAGUUAGUCAAGAAUUAUACAAAUAGAGGGACUAAAACAUUCAUACCCUUUGAACUAGUGAGUCAUUUACUAGAUUUAUACCCCAGGGAAGCCAUUGAUAAGAAAAAAGUCCCUAUUUAUGACACAAUAUUUAUAGUAGCAAUUUUUAUAAUAGCUAAUAAGAGUUGGAUACAGAGUUGAUGUCUAUCAAUUGGAGAAUGACUAAACUUAUGGUACAUAAAUA
Sarcophilus harrisii (Tasmanian devil) is the source of this 1833-nucleotide long non-coding RNA. RefSeq lists it as uncharacterized. The transcript has 4 exons. Lineage: Eukaryota; Metazoa; Chordata; Mammalia; Dasyuromorphia; Dasyuridae. The record is from RefSeq and is a predicted model, not a curated record.